GACGAACGCUGGCGGCGUGCUUAACACAUGCAAGUCGAACGGAAAGGCCCUGCUUUUGUGGGGUGCUCGAGUGGCGAACGGGUGAGUAACACGUGAGUAACCUGCCCUUGACUUUGGGAUAACUUCAGGAAACUGGGGCUAAUACCGGAUAGGAGCUCCUGCUGCAUGGUGGGGGUUGGAAAGUUUCGGCGGUUGGGGAUGGACUCGCGGCUUAUCAGCUUGUUGGUGGGGUAGUGGCUUACCAAGGCUUUGACGGGUAGCCGGCCUGAGAGGGUGACCGGCCAGAUUGGGACUGAGAGACGGCCCAGACUCCGAAGGGAGGCAGCAGUGGGGAAUAUUGCACAAUGGGCGGAAGCCUGAUGCAGCAACGCCGCGUGCGGGAUGACGGCCUUCGGGUUGUAAACCGCUUUCGCCUGUGACGAAGCGUGAGUGACGGUAAUGGGUAAAGAAGAACCGGCUAACUACGUG
This 468-nucleotide ribosomal RNA is filed under the name uncultured bacterium. RNAcentral describes it as "partial 16S ribosomal RNA". It matches the Rfam family "Bacterial small subunit ribosomal RNA", at positions 28 to 507 of the family's 1533-position model. The record is from RNAcentral.